ACCCCCUCCCUUCUUCCGGAGGGGUUGUGUGCGGACAGGUGAGGAAAACCGGGCCACCUUACCCCCGGGAAGAUAAACGCUAUCUUUUGGGGGGUUAGGGCCAGGGUCGUAUUAGGGCAACAAUAUAUUAAUUAGCUAUAUGGGUGGUGUAAAGGACCACCCCGCCGAUGAUGCGAGACAAACCAAAACUUAGUCACACUUUCACUGAAACAAGGGGAAGGCUCACAUGGUCCCCAGUGGACUAGAGGCAGCAGUAGAGAAUCUUGUGCAAUAUACAAUUGGUAUGACACAGAGGUAAUCUAGAAAUAAAGGCCUGUCAAACUAAGUGCCAGCAGACGCGGUGAGACUUAGGGGCCUAGCCUUUAUAAACAAAGGGGCGUAAAGAGUGUGCAGGCUAAACCAAAACUUAGAAUAUAAAUAUAUAUAGUUAUACCACUAUUGAUAUAUCUAGGUUUAACCACCAAAAUAAGGUUGAUUAUGGAAUGCUUCUGUAGCGGUAGAAUGUGAAGAAAGAGGCUUGAACCCCAAGCGCGAAAGCAAUUAACUAAUGUGGUGGUGUUUUUGGCUGAAACACGAGAGUUGGGGUAUCAAACAGGAUUAGAGACCCUGGUAGUCCCAACCGUAAACUAUGGGGAGUAUUGCUAGUAUUGCAGCACCAAAGGCCGCAAAUCCCCCGCCUGAGUAGUACGAUCGCAAGAUUAAAAUUCAAAAAAUUUGGCUGUUCUCCGAUUAGAUUAGAGGAGCGUGUAGUUUAAUUCGAUAAUCCGCGAGCAACCUUACCCUAACUUGAAUCUUUCUCAUUCUGCUUUUUAACUGUAACCCCGAAGGUUUUGGUCUCGCCAUUAUCUUCGUUGUCUAUGGUUGAGGCAGGCAAGAGAACCGACCGGUGUUGCAUGGCCGUCGUCAGUUCGUGUUUAAAUCAUAAAACGGGCAAAAACCAUAAAGAGAAUUAGUGAAUGGUUGAAGUCAGGUCUCAUGGCCCUAAUGUUAGGGGAUUUUUAUGCGCUACAUUCGCCCAAGCAAAGGGAUUAAGAACAGGAAAACCCAAGUAACAUGCGGCGAGCGGAUGGCCAUUGGGAUAGUGGCCUGAAGUUGAAUUUAAUAGUAAUUGGGGAGAAGAGCGCCCCGGUGAACAUAUAUGGCACGGAGUUAGCACAAAUCGCCCGUCACCUUAUCUUAGUAACGCAGCCCGGACACCGCCAACAAUGGGGGCCACUGGCUACUAACAAAGAUAAGCAAGUCGUAACAUAGUGAGAGGAGGGGAACCUCCUCUUG
This 1275-nucleotide ribosomal RNA is filed under the name Microzoanthus occultus. RNAcentral describes it as "small subunit ribosomal RNA". It matches the Rfam family "Bacterial small subunit ribosomal RNA". The record is from RNAcentral. Lineage: Eukaryota; Metazoa; Cnidaria; Anthozoa; Zoantharia; Microzoanthidae.